RNAcentral lists this ribosomal RNA (459 nucleotides) under uncultured bacterium. RNAcentral's name for it is "partial 16S ribosomal RNA". It matches the Rfam family "Bacterial small subunit ribosomal RNA", at positions 338 to 795 of the family's 1533-position model. The record is from RNAcentral.
CCUACGGGUGGCAGCAGUGAGGAAUAUUGGUCAAUGGGCGCGAGCCUGAACCAGCCAAGUCGCGUGAGGGAAGACGGUCCUAUGGAUUGUAAACCUCUUUUGUCGGGGAGCAAAAGACGCCACGCGUGGCGUUCCGAGAGUACCUGAAGAAAAAGCAUCGGCUAACUCCGUGCCAGCAGCCGCGGUAAUACGGAGGAUGCGAGCGUUAUCCGGAUUUAUUGGGUUUAAAGGGUGCGCAGGCGGAAGAUCAAGUCAGCGGUAAAAUUGAGGGGCUCAACCUCUUCGAGCCGUUGAAACUGGUUGUCUUGAGAGGGCGAGAGGUAUGCGGAAUGCGUGGUGUAGCGGUGAAAUGCAUAGAUAUCGCGCAGAACUCCGAUUGCGAAGGCAGCAUACCGGCGCUCAACUGACGCUCAUGCACGAAAGUGUGGGUAUCGAACAGGAUUAGAUACCCGAGUAGUC